Long non-coding RNA from Oreochromis aureus, 2135 nucleotides. The record is from Ensembl. Lineage: Eukaryota; Metazoa; Chordata; Actinopteri; Cichliformes; Cichlidae.
AACACGGCGCCUAAGCAGCUCAAACGCUCAAAAGUUUGGUUAUACUUUACCAGAACGGAUGACAACAGGGCAACUUGCAAUACUUGCAAAGUAGAUAUUUCAUUUAAGGGAGGAAACACUACGAAUAUGCAAAAGCAUUUGCUCACAAAACACGCGAUGAACUUAAAUGAAUGUCGUGUUUUUAAUUCCGCUCCGGAGUCGUGAAUCUCAACCCAGCAGCAGCGGUUUGCACGUCCUCUCCCGUUAAUGCGGCAGGUCCAAGCCAGCUCCGAACAGCCAGAACUCUGGUUCAGACUGGUAGAUGUUGUACAGUGUCCUCCAUCGAGAGUGUCGCACAUGAUGCAACCGCCUAUCGAGUAUCCGGCAGCAAACGUCUCUGCAGGACAAUCAGGGCUCUCCCGAACCCAAGCUUCUUGUCGACAGUAGAGUGUCAGUUUCAUUAAUGCUGUUCUUGUUGUGAUUUAUUGAUAAAAAACUGCUGAGUUUAAUUUAACACUUUAUUAUUAUUGAAUGUAAUGAUGAUUGCAGACUGCAUAGAGGAAUAGCAUUAGCAUAGCGAGGGCAUUAGUAUGUUAGCUCUGUUUUCCUUUGACCCUGUGUCGAGGAGGCUGCUGUCAGGAUCUGCAGAUCUGCUGAAAGCAGGAAAAUGUGAAAUGCAAACUCAACACUUUUUCUGUUUAACUCCCUCACAGGAUCUGCUGCUUUGUUUAUUAAUGGUUUGUUUUGUCUUUUUUGUUUCUUACAUGCAUCCUUUCACAGCUCCACACAAGAUUCUGUUUUUUUUUGUUGUUGUUGUUGUUUAUUGCUUCUUUUAUGUUUUGUUAUGUAUCUUUUUCAUCUUUUCUAUUCAAUGAGUUUAGUUGUUAUUUUGCACUUGUUAAGAAGCUCAGGUUUGACAAAAGCAGCUGAAUGAACAUCAGAGAGAGAUUUUUCUGCCUUCUGUCUUUUUAUUCCUUUCUUUUCUUCCCAUUAAAGUGUUUUUUCUUUCUUUCUGAUAAAAGCUCACAGACAAGGAGAGAGAAAAGAGAUAACUCUGUUAUUGUAGCUCUAAGUCUCUCUGACUCUAAAUCUCUUUUAAGAGGAGGUAUAAAACUACCUGACUGCAUCCCUUAUUAGCAUUGCACUGUGUGUGUGUGAGUGUGUGUGUGUUUCCCUGCAUUGCUAUCUUUGUGAGAACCACUCUUAGGACUCUAUCAUCUUUGCAAGGACGUCAAAUACUGUCAUUUUGUCUUUGUUGGUGGUGCCCUGACACAACUGCAAUAAGGAGGAAUAAAAACCCCAUGCACCAAAUCACAAAUCCUCUCUGAUUGGGUAAAUAUAGCUUUUUUCCCCUCACAGGUUAUUUGUACACUAUCUAUACAUGCACUGCCCAAGUUUCACAUCAUAGCUUUCCAACACACUUUGUUUCUGAUUCUUACAGCCAGAAACACUACUGUGUAUUACAUGAUGGAUAAGGUUAACCAAGAAAAACCAGAUCUUUACUUUGACGUUUGUCACAACGAAGUUAAAACUCACAAUCCUUUUUGCUAAGUGUAAUUUGCUGACUUUUAGCAUUUAUUGUGUUAGAACAGUGUAGAGGAGACAGGAAAGCUGAGGAGAGAGAACAGAGAGACAGAUGCAGCAGAUGCCCUCAUGGCGGAUUUAAACUCGGCUUAUGGCAUAUGGGUCACUUGCUCAACCCAGUGAGCUAAACCAUUGCCCAAAACAUAUGAUCCUUAAUGCUGUGCUUUUAUAACUGCUACAACUUGACUUGAGAAAAUGCCUUGUUGAUUCUACAGGUCAGAUGAGAAUGGCCAGACUCCUUCCAGCUGACAGGAAGUUGACAGUAACUCAAAUAACGACUCAUUACAUGCAUCCUUUGUCCCAUAUCCACUAUCCCUCCUCUGCAUAUGUACAAUGAUCUGAACCUUGUCUCUCUAAGUUUGUCUCCAAACUAUUCAACUUGAGCUGACCCUCUGAAGUGUACUCAUCUCUAAUCCUGUCCAUCCUGGUUACUUCCACCUACAAUUUGAGCAUCUUUAACUCUGCUGCACACAUCUCCUGUCUUUUGAUUAGUACUGCUUCUCUGGUGUAUGUAAAAUCCUCAGUGUUGACAAGAAGACAUUUACUAGAAUAUUUUAUAUUGUAGAACAAAG